RNAcentral lists this ribosomal RNA (1256 nucleotides) under metagenome. Its description in RNAcentral is "bacterial SSU rRNA". It matches the Rfam family "Bacterial small subunit ribosomal RNA", at positions 218 to 1465 of the family's 1533-position model. The record is from RNAcentral.
CUGAUUGAGCGGCCGAUAUCAGAUUAGCUAGUUGGUGAGGUAAAAGCUCACCAAGGCGACGAUCUGUAGCGGGUCUGAGAGGAUGAUCCGCCACACUGGAACUGAGACACGGUCCAGACUCCUACGGGAGGCAGCAGUGGGGAAUUUUGGACAAUGGGGGCAACCCUGAUCCAGCCAUGCCGCGUGAGUGAAGAAGGCCUUCGGGUUGUAAAGCUCUUUCAGCCGGGAAGAAAAUGCAUGGGUUAAUACCCUGUGCAGAUGACGGUACCGGAAUAAGAAGCACCGGCUAACUACGUGCCAGCAGCCGCGGUAAUACGUAGGGUGCGAGCGUUAAUCGGAAUUACUGGGCGUAAAGCGUGCGCAGGCGGUUUUGUAAGACAGGCGUGAAAUCCCCGGGCUUAACCUGGGAACUGCGUUUGUGACUGCAAGGCUAGAGUACGGCAGAGGGGGGUGGAAUUCCACGUGUAGCAGUGAAAUGCGUAGAGAUGUGGAGGAACACCAAUGGCGAAGGCAGCCCCCUGGGUCGAUACUGACGCUCAUGCACGAAAGCGUGGGUAGCAAACAGGAUUAGAUACCCUGGUAGUCCACGCCCUAAACGAUGUCAACUAGGUGUUGGGAGGGUAAAACCUUUUAGUACCGUAGCUAACGCGAGAAGUUGACUGCCUGGGGAGUACGGCCGCAAGGUUAAAACUCAAAGGAAUUGACGGGGACCCGCACAAGCGGUGGAUGAUGUGGAUUAAUUCGAUGCAACGCGAAAAACCUUACCUACCCUUGACAUGUCAGGAACUUGCCAGAGAUGGCUUGGUGCCCGAAAGGGAACCUGAACACAGGUGCUGCAUGGCUGUCGUCAGCUCGUGUCGUGAGAUGUUGGGUUAAGUCCCGCAACGAGCGCAACCCUUGUCGUUAAUUGCCAUCAUUCAGUUGGGCACUUUAACGAGACUGCCGGUGACAAACCGGAGGAAGGUGGGGAUGACGUCAAGUCCUCAUGGCCCUUAUGGGUAGGGCUUCACACGUCAUACAAUGGUCGGUACAAAGGGUCGCCAACCCGCGAGGGGGAGCCAAUCCCAUAAAGCCGAUCGUAGUCCGGAUUGUAGGCUGCAACUCGCCUGCAUGAAGUCGGAAUCGCUAGUAAUCGUGGAUCAGCAUGUCACGGUGAAUACGUUCCCGGGUCUUGUACACACCGCCCGUCACACCAUGGGAGCGGGUUCCGCCAGAAGUAGGUAGCCUAACCGCAAGGGGGGCGCUUACCACGGCGG